GGCACACAAUCAGGCGUGACAUCUUAUAUGACAUCAACAUGGUUGAAGUGAUAAGCAAACUUAACGUAACAUGGACUCAAGCAACAUGGCUACCACUUGUUUCAAUAAUGGGGUUAGCGUUUUUACUAACAGUCUGCUCCAUCAAAAUACAAGGUCCAUUGGAGGCCCCGGUAGGAAAUAACGUUACGCUUACAUGUAUUGCCAAGGGAGGUUUGCGAUUCAAGUACACAAAUAUAAAGAAUGUUCAGACAGCUAUUGGGGAAUGCACAGCAUUCUACAAUUGCAAUGUGUACGAGGAAAAACUGAAAGACAAAUAUAAAAUAACUCUAACGGAUGACGGCGCAAUGCUUUUCAUCUUGAAUAUUGACACUUUCAGAUUUGGCAAUUAUACGUGUUCUUCAUUAUUUGAUGCAUCCAUGUCCGAUAGCCUGUUUCUGUCACAACAUAACUCAACAUCUAUACCGUUAAGUUGUGAAAGCAACUCAACAUCUAUACCGUUAAGUAGUGAAAGCAACUCAACAUCUAUACCGUUAAGUAGUGAAAGCAACUCAACAUCUAUACCGUUAAGUAGUGAAAGCAACUCAACAUCUAUACCGUUAAGUAGUGAAAGCAACCCAACAUCUAUACCGUUAAGUAGUGAAAGCAACUCAACAUCUAUACCGUUAAGUAGUGAAAGCACAACUCGUAAAGUAUUGCUUCCUUUGAUAUAUGUGUUGUUUUUAUUGUAUUUUAUGGUCUUACCAUAAUUGCAUAUGGUUUUGAAUACCUUCUAAAAGUUGUGUGAGAGAAGUAAUUGACAAACAACAGGAUCA
Dreissena polymorpha is the source of this 812-nucleotide long non-coding RNA. RefSeq lists it as uncharacterized. The record is from RefSeq and is a predicted model, not a curated record. The transcript has 3 exons. NCBI's taxonomy places the organism in Eukaryota, Metazoa, Mollusca, Bivalvia, Myida, Dreissenidae.